GGAGCACAAGAUCAUCAGGAGGCAGAUAAGGAAGGAGAAUUGGUUCACCAACACCCUGAUGUGAAAAGUGACAAACCCAAACCUGGCAUCAGUGCAAUUCAAGAAUAGGUUAUGGGUUGUCAAGACUAUCAAAGCAAACAUAAUUCUGAAGAUGGAGGAUCCUUAGAGUUGGUGACAAGAAAAGUCUCGAGAUGUUGUUGGUGUCAUGGAGGAAGGAAGAACGCCAACAGAAAAUAUCAACACAUACUGAUGGGUGUUUGGGCUUUAUCGGGUCAAGCUAAUGACGUUACAAGAGCGCUUGUUGGGAGGCAACCCAGUUUCUUUUUUUUUUUUCGUUUUGAUUUUAUUUUAUUUUAUUUUAUUUUAUUUUGUUUUAUUUUUUUGGAUUAUGUGUUGCUUCUGAUGACAGUAAUGAUAGCAUCUACUGAUGGAUGCUUCUACAACAUCUACUGAUGGAUGUUAGGUUAUUUGGUGUCUAUUGAUGGAUGCCAAUGAAGAUAAGAAAGAUUAGCAUCUACUGAUGGAUGCUAUAUGCUUAGACAUUUACUGAUGGAUGUCACUAACGGCGUUUACUGAUGAAUGCUACUGGAAUAAUAUCUACUGAGGGAUGCUAGAAGAUUUAGGUAUCUACUGAAGGAUACAGGAAGGUACACCUACUGAUGGGUGACGGUAAGUUUUGCACCUACUGAUGGGUGCUAGAAAGGUUUGGGUCAGGCUCGUGACGUUAAACAAGCGCUACCUGGGAGGCAACCCAGUUUUCU
This 761-nucleotide long non-coding RNA is filed under the name Vigna radiata. RNAcentral describes it as "long non-coding RNA (VRAD_LNC008422)". Lineage: Eukaryota; Viridiplantae; Streptophyta; Magnoliopsida; Fabales; Fabaceae. The record is from RNAcentral.